This 744-nucleotide long non-coding RNA is filed under the name Medicago truncatula (barrel medic). Its description in RNAcentral is "long non-coding RNA (MTRU_LNC006770)". Lineage: Eukaryota; Viridiplantae; Streptophyta; Magnoliopsida; Fabales; Fabaceae. The record is from RNAcentral.
GAGACUUGUAGUAGUAUGGAGGUGGAGGUGAGGGAGAUGGUGGUGGUGGAGAUUUGUAAUAGUAAGGUGGUGGAGGGGAAUGUGAGGGGGGUGGGGGGGAUUUGUAAUAAUAAGGAGGUGGAGGUGAUGGGGAUGGAGGAGGUGGUGACUUGUACACAUAUGUUGGAGCCUUGUGCUCAUAAGAUGGUGGUGGAGGUGAUUUAUACUCAUAGGGUGGUGGGGGUGAUGGUGAAGGAGGUGGGGGAGACUUAUAUUCAUAAGAUGGAGACUUGUGCUCAUAGGGUGGAGGUGGUGGAGAUUUGUAAAUGUAAGAUGGUGGAGGUGACGGUGAGGGAGGCGGUGGUGACUUGUAAAUGUAAGGUGGUGGUGGUGAUGGUGAUGGUGGUGGGGGUGACUUGUACUGGUAAGAUGGAGCCUUGUGCUCAUAUGGUGGUGGAGGUGACGGUGAUGGAGGUGGUGGUGACUUGUAAAUGUAAGGUGGUGGAGGUGAUGGUGAUGGAGGUGGGGGUGACUUGUACUGGUAAGAUGGUGCCUUGUGCUCAUAUGGAGGCGGUGGUGACGGUGAUGGAGGCGGUGGUGACUUGUACACAUAAGGUGGUGGAGGAGAAGAGUAAAUAUAACUAUCUGCAGCAGCAGAAACCACAGAAGUCGAAAUCAAAACAAUGACGAAUGCCAUUGCCAUUGGUGGCCAGUUAUGACCCCUUUUGGGGCUACUGGCCUUAGCAGUCAUGGGUAGAAUGAAAA